AUACGUAGGGGGCAAGCGUUAUCCGGAUUUACUGGGUGUAAAGGGAGCGUAGACGGUUUGGCAAGUCUGAAGUGAAAGCUCGGGGCUCAACCCCGGAACUGCUUUGGAAACUGUCGAACUGGAGUGCAGGAGAGGUAAGCGGAAUUCCUAGUGUAGCGGUGAAAUGCGUAGAUAUUAGGAGGGACACCAGAGGCGAAGGCGGCUUACUGGACUGUAACGGACGUUGAGGCUCGAAGGCGUGGGGAGCAAACAGGAUUAGAUACCCUGGUAGUCCACGCGGUAAACGAUGAUCACUAGGUGUUGGCACGCAUAGCGUGUCGGUGCCGCAGCAAACGCAAUAAGUGAUCCACCUGGGAGUACGUUCGCAAGAAUGAAACUCAAAGGAAUUGACGGGG
RNAcentral lists this ribosomal RNA (395 nucleotides) under uncultured bacterium. RNAcentral describes it as "partial 16S ribosomal RNA". It matches the Rfam family "Bacterial small subunit ribosomal RNA", at positions 523 to 918 of the family's 1533-position model. The record is from RNAcentral.